GUAGCGGUGAAAUGCGUAGAUAUCUGGAGGAAUACCGGUGGCGAAGGCGGCAUCCUGGACCGGCAUUGACGCUGAUGAGCGAAAGCUAGGGGAGCAAACGGGAUUAGAUACCCCGGUAGUCCUAGCCCUAAACGAUGAAUGCUUGGUGUGGCGGGUAUCGAUCCCCGCGACGAACACGACGCAGUACGCAGUACGACACGCACAACGUCAGCACAACGACGUCACAACACGACGCACAGACAGUCAACUGCACAACAUACCGGAUAACAUCUGCGGAUCAAAUGGUGAGAUUCCGCCUGAGGAGCGGCCGAGGCGCUAUCAGCUUGUUGGUAGGGUAAUGGCCUACCAAGGCUUAGACGGCUAGGGGGUGUGAGAGCAUGGCCCCCACCACUGGGACUGAGACACUGCCCAGACACCUACGGGUGGCUGCAGUCGAGAAUCUUCGGCAAUGGGCGCAAGCCUGACCGAGCCUGCACGAACGCAUGCACAACUGCAGUCAGGCAGCAACGUCACAACGCGAACGUACCCUUAGUUGCCAGCACGUAAUGGCCGGUACAAACCGUCGCGAUACCGCAAGGGAGCUAAUCGGAACACUCGAAAGCCUGACGGAGCAAGACCGCGUGAGGGAAGAAGGCUCUUGGGUCGUAAACCUCUUUUGUCAGGGAAGACACCACUGGGACUGAGACACUGCCCAGACACCUACCAUGACGUCAGUCAGCGGCGCGCAGACGACCAUCGACGCAGCAGACGUCGUCCCGCAGACGUACUGAAGCGAACGGGAUUGCAGUAAUCGCGGAUCAGCACGCCGCGGUGAAUACGUUCCCGGGCCUUGUACACACCGCCCGUCACAUCACGAA
Molecule: ribosomal RNA, 857 nt
Filed under: uncultured bacterium
Lineage: Bacteria
Description: partial 16S ribosomal RNA
Rfam family: Bacterial small subunit ribosomal RNA
Source: RNAcentral